UCCUAGCUAUUUUUACUUUCCACCUUGUCAUGUGGGUCCCACCAUGAGGUAAGAAAGAGAGAACUAAAACUUCUCUUAAAGGGAGAGCACUUUCACGUUAAAAUUGGUGUGGGUUGCACCUUGGGUUGCUUUAUUUUAAUUUUAUUCUUGAUAUGUUUCAUCUUGCAUGAUUGAAAAUUUAAANCUUUUGUUUCUCAUUUUUCCUUCUCCUUCCAAGUUAGGUUUCAAUGCAUGCCAUGGGUCUUAUAUUAUUCCUCUUCAUUUUUGCAUGGGGUGGGCCACAUGAAUUCUAGACCUAGGAUGCUUGUAAGUGACCUUGGAGUUUCUUGGAGAGGUUAAACAUUGCAUUAAAAAUGGUAGGCUCCAUAAAUGGGUAUUUUAGGGGCAUUUAAACACACUUUAAACCUACCAUUUACACACAUUAAAGAGAGGUUUUAUGGGUGUUAAUGUGGAGUUAGGAAUGGGAAAAAUCUGAAAUGGUCUAAGGAUGCCCUUGGUAGUGACCUUGAGUGGGGGAUUAAGGGUUAGAAAGGUUUAGGUUUGAUUUUAUUUAAGUGUGUAAUUUUAAGUUAGUUAGAUGGUAUUAAAAACUUGGUGAGAGAGUGGAAAAGAAAGAGAAAGCCGUAAGUUGAGGGGAGAGAAACAUUUCUUUGUGAGAAACAACCAAGUUGGUGAGAGAAAGAAAGUACUCAACCUAGCUUUGGAGUUGGAAACUUGAAAGGAACCUAGAAGGGUGAAGGGCUUGGAGUCUAAAGAAGGAAAGAAACCUAAGAACCUUGGAGACUAGCUUGGAACUAGAGGUAAGGGGUUUAACUUGGGAUAUAAUAUGGUGUAUGAUGGGUAGAAGGUAACAUGAUAAC
Molecule: long non-coding RNA, 860 nt
Filed under: Vigna radiata
Lineage: Eukaryota; Viridiplantae; Streptophyta; Magnoliopsida; Fabales; Fabaceae
Description: long non-coding RNA (VRAD_LNC004482)
Source: RNAcentral